UACCGUACUGCAAACCGACUCAGGUGGGCUAGUAUAUAUACUCAGGCCAUAGAAUCAACCAUGUUAAAGGAACUCGGCAAAAUGCACGCGUGACCUCGGAGGAAGCGUGGCUAAAAAGACUCAGCAAAUAGCCGACAGCGACUGUUUACCAAAAACACAGGAUAGUGCUAACAGACGUAAAUUAAGCUGCAAAAAGCGGUUUUAUUUUUGGAUGUAUACUAUCCGACGCCAAACGGCGGCAGUAACUCUAACUGUCCUAAGGUAGCGAAAUUCCUUGACUUGUAAUUGGCGUCCUGCAUGAAUGGCGGAACGACUGUCGGGCUGUCUCUAACAUGGAAUCUGUGAAUUUGAAAUCUUCGUGCAGAUGCGAAGGCGCUGGCAAGGGACGAAGAGACCCUAUGCAGCUUCGCUGGGUGCUAAGAGUUACUCUUAUCCUCAAGCUUUUCUGGGACGGAUGCUUCCUAAAUAGUAACGGGAGUGAUCAAUGGUACUGCUACUUAAAUAGAAAGCAGUGCUUGACUGUAAGAACCACAGUUCGAGCAGGGACGCAAGUCGGCAUUAAUGACCCAGGGUAACAU
This 578-nucleotide unclassified non-coding RNA is filed under the name Chlamydomonas reinhardtii. Its description in RNAcentral is "L7 rRNA from Chlamydomonas reinhardtii (PDB 7PKT, chain 7)". It matches the Rfam family "Bacterial large subunit ribosomal RNA", at positions 1640 to 2431 of the family's 2925-position model. Lineage: Eukaryota; Viridiplantae; Chlorophyta; Chlorophyceae; Chlamydomonadales; Chlamydomonadaceae. The record is from RNAcentral.